GACGAACGCUGGCGGCGUGCUUAACACAUGCAAGUCGAACGGAAAGGCCCUGCUUUUGUGGGGUGCUCGAGUGGCGAACGGGUGAGUAACACGUGAGUAACCUGCCCUUGACUUUGGGAUAACUUCAGGAAACUGGGGCUAAUACCGGAUAGGAGCUCCUGCUGCAUGGUGGGGGUUGGAAAGUUUCGGCGGUUGGGGAUGGACUCGCGGCUUAUCAGCUUGUUGGUGGGGUAGUGGCUUACCAAGGCUUUGACGGGUAGCCGGCCUGAGAGGGUGACCGGGGACAUGAGGACUGAGAUACGGCCCAGACUCCUACGGGAGGCAGUAGUGGGGAAUAUUGCACAAUGGGCGGAAGUCUGAUGCAGCAACGCCGCGUGCGGGAUGACGGCCUUCGGGUUGUAAACCGCUUUCGCCUGUGACGAAGCGUGAGUGACGGUAAUGGGUAAAGAAGCACCGGCUAACUACGUG
RNAcentral lists this ribosomal RNA (468 nucleotides) under uncultured bacterium. RNAcentral describes it as "partial 16S ribosomal RNA". It matches the Rfam family "Bacterial small subunit ribosomal RNA", at positions 28 to 507 of the family's 1533-position model. The record is from RNAcentral.